UUGAGAUUCAAACAUACAGAUGGAAAGUCGACUUUGGAAUAAAGAUUGUGGAUCAUAUGUUUUGUUUCCCGAUUUUAUGUAAUAGUAAAAUGACUCUUUUGUUUGGAAGAAAUCAUUUUACCUAUGCUUGCAGCGAUUCUUGUUACCACUUAAUUGAUGAGUUCAUGCUUUGCGAGAAAAGAUAAUUUUAUGUUUUGGAUCAAUUGGACAGAUUGCAUGCGACAAUGGAGCUGUUGAACUAGCAUGCUUGGACAGCGAGAGCUGGGAUACUCUAAGUGAUGAUUCCCAACUGGAAAGGAGGGUUAUGUUGGCAGAGCAUUCAAAUGGCAUCGAUUUGCAGCACCGAAUAAAAUGUUGGCUCUUAGAGAUUUGCAGACCCAUCAAUCUUCAGAUGCAAUAUCAAACGGCGAUACUCAUUAUGUUCCUCUCACAGAAGAAGACAUUGUUCAAAGGGUUCGGAAGCCUCAUUCGGGAUAUAUCCGAGGGAGGGGAAAAAUUCUGAAAGGAUCUUCUAGUUCUUGUGGUGCACAAAGUGAGAAUGACGAAGUAGUUGUGGAGUUGAAGAACAAACUUGCAUCAUAUGAGAACAAACUUGAUGCAUGUACAUAAUUUAUUCAACAAUUAACCUCUCAACUGAACAUGCAAUUUCCUGGCUACUUUGCUCAAUUUGAUCCAAGAACCACCUUUUCUCUACCUUUGCCACCACAAAUGACGACGACAAUGCUUAUUGUCCCGUGAUCUCGAGAGAUCCAUGUUAUUAGACUUACAGUUUAAACCUUUAAGUUCACGUAUAAAUUUAUAUUAUAAACUUCUACU
Long non-coding RNA from Morus notabilis, 816 nucleotides. RefSeq lists it as uncharacterized. Lineage: Eukaryota; Viridiplantae; Streptophyta; Magnoliopsida; Rosales; Moraceae. The record is from RefSeq and is a predicted model, not a curated record. The transcript has 3 exons.